This 111-nucleotide ribosomal RNA is filed under the name Hydnum repandum. RNAcentral's name for it is "partial 28S ribosomal RNA". It matches the Rfam family "Eukaryotic large subunit ribosomal RNA", at positions 1 to 110 of the family's 3401-position model. The record is from RNAcentral. Lineage: Eukaryota; Fungi; Basidiomycota; Agaricomycetes; Cantharellales; Hydnaceae.
CUGACCUCGAAUCAGGUGGGACUACCCGCUGAACUUAAGCAUAUCAAUAAGCGGAGGAAAAGAAACUAACAAGGAUUCCCUUAGUAACUGCGAGUGAAGUGGGAUGAGCUC